RNAcentral lists this long non-coding RNA (251 nucleotides) under Trifolium pratense (red clover). Its description in RNAcentral is "long non-coding RNA (TPRA_LNC002898)". Lineage: Eukaryota; Viridiplantae; Streptophyta; Magnoliopsida; Fabales; Fabaceae. The record is from RNAcentral.
UGUGUUUUGAUGAAUCGAUCGUCGAUGAUGAUGAUUAUGAAAAGAGGUUAUUAAAGGAGAUAAGGAUGAUCGUAUACGACGUCGUUGGAAGAAAGAAAAAAUUGCAAUGGUGAUGAUGAUUGUUGUUGUUGGAGUUAGAAAGAAGCUUUUUUGGAAGGCUGAAAAAUGGGAAGGAGAGGGACCCUGUACAUGAUUUCACGUGGGUCGCACGACUUUUGAGUUACGUGCUUCUCUGCUGUGGAGAACACUAU